UACGUAGGCAGCAAGCGUUGUUCGGAAUUACUGGGCGUAAAGAGUGUGUAGGCGGUGCUCCAAGUCUGGUGUGAAAUCUCCCGGCUUAACUGGGAGGGUGCAUUAGAAACUGGAAUGCUAGAGGAUGGGAGAGGUAAGCGGAAUUCCUGGUGUAGCGGUGAAAUGCGUAGAUAGUCAGGAGGAACACCUGUGGUGUAGACAGCUUACUGGACCAUUUCUGACGCUGAGACACGAAAGCGUGGGUAGCAAACAGG
Molecule: ribosomal RNA, 254 nt
Filed under: uncultured bacterium
Lineage: Bacteria
Description: partial 16S ribosomal RNA
Rfam family: Bacterial small subunit ribosomal RNA
Source: RNAcentral